This 254-nucleotide ribosomal RNA is filed under the name uncultured bacterium. RNAcentral's name for it is "partial 16S ribosomal RNA". It matches the Rfam family "Bacterial small subunit ribosomal RNA", at positions 524 to 776 of the family's 1533-position model. The record is from RNAcentral.
UACGUAGGGGGCGAGCGUUGUCCGGAAUUAUUGGGCGUAAAGAGCGUGUAGGCGGUUCGGUAAGUCUGCCGUGAAAACCUGGGGCUCAACCCUGGGCGUGCGGUGGAUACUGCCGGGCUAGAGGGUGGUAGAGGCGAGUGGAAUUCCUGGUGUAGCGGUGAAAUGCGUAGAUACCAGGAGGAACACCGGUGGCGAAGGCGGCUUCCUGGACCGGCACUGACGCUGAGGAGCGAAAGCGUGGGGGAGCGAUCCGG